CGCUGUGAUCAUACCAGCACUAAAGCACCGGAUCCCAUCAGAACUCCGAAGUUAAGCGUGCUUGGGCGAGAGUAGUACUAGGAUGGGUGACCUCCUGGGAAGUCCUCGUGUUGCAUUCC
RNAcentral lists this ribosomal RNA (119 nucleotides) under Triticum aestivum (bread wheat). RNAcentral also lists the same sequence under 1 other name. The record is from RNAcentral. Lineage: Eukaryota; Viridiplantae; Streptophyta; Magnoliopsida; Poales; Poaceae.